RNAcentral lists this long non-coding RNA (204 nucleotides) under Nicotiana benthamiana. Its description in RNAcentral is "long non-coding RNA (NBEN_LNC014014)". Lineage: Eukaryota; Viridiplantae; Streptophyta; Magnoliopsida; Solanales; Solanaceae. The record is from RNAcentral.
CAUCCCCUAAUUCCCUCUAUUGUAACUUAUUCCUAUAGUCUAAUUCAUGCCCCUCUUGUGAGCCUUGCCUUGGGACCCAUGAGCUCCCUCUGAACUUGGACACUUGAGGGUUGGCCCUUCCACAUUACACAUUAAUUCGGUUCUUUGAUGAUAUCUAAACCAAGUUUUCUGCACUCAUAUAGAAAUAAUGCCUAUAAGUUUUCU